UACGGAGGAUCCGAGCGUUAUCCGGAUUUAUUGGGUUUAAAGGGUGCGUAGGCGGGCUGUUAAGUCAGCGGUAAAAGCCCGGGGCUCAACCCCGGCGAGCCGUUGAAACUGGGGAUCUAGAGUGUGCGAGAGGUAUGCGGAAUGCGUGGUGUAGCGGUGAAAUGCAUAGAUAUCACGCAGAACUCCGAUUGCGAAGGCAGCAUACCGGCGCGCAACUGACGCUCACGCACGAAAGCGUGGGUAUCGAACAGG
This 252-nucleotide ribosomal RNA is filed under the name uncultured Bacteroidales bacterium. RNAcentral describes it as "partial 16S ribosomal RNA". It matches the Rfam family "Bacterial small subunit ribosomal RNA", at positions 524 to 776 of the family's 1533-position model. The record is from RNAcentral. Lineage: Bacteria; Pseudomonadati; Bacteroidota; Bacteroidia; Bacteroidales.